This 2035-nucleotide ribosomal RNA is filed under the name marine metagenome. RNAcentral describes it as "bacterial LSU rRNA". It matches the Rfam family "Bacterial large subunit ribosomal RNA", at positions 479 to 2477 of the family's 2925-position model. The record is from RNAcentral.
AGUGACCGAUAGCGGACCAGUACCGUGAGGGAAAGGUGAAAAGAACCCCGGUAAGGGGAGUGAAAUAGAACCUGAAACCGCAUGUUUACAAUCGGUGGGAGGACGUUGGCUUCGCGCCUGUCCGACCGCGUACCUUUUGCAUAAUGGGCUGGCUAGUUGUGGUAUGCAGCGAGGUUAAGCUUUUAGGCGAGCCGUAGGGAAACCGAGUCUGAAUAGGGCGUUUAGUUGCAUGCUGCAGACGUGAAGCCGGGUGAUCUAUCCUUGACCAGGGUGAAGCGCGGGUAAAACCACGUGGAGGCCCGAACCAGUGUCGGUUGAAAACGGCUUGGAUGAGUUGGGGAUAGGGGUGAAAGGCCAAUCAAACCCGGGAAUAGCUCGUUCUCCCCGAAAUAGCUUUAGGGCUAGCCUUUGGCGAUGGAUUGCGGAGGUAGAGCACUGGAAGGGCUAGGGGGCCUAUAAGCUUACCGAACCCUACCAAACUCCGAAUGCCGCAUAUCUUAGCCAGGGAGUCAGACUGCGAGGGAUAAGCUCCGUAGUCGAAAGGGAAACAGCCCAGACCGCCAGCUAAGGCCCCUAAGUGCAGGCUAAGUGGAAAAGGAUGUCGAGAUGCACAGACAGCCGGGAGGUUGGCUUAGAAGCAGCCAUCCUUUAAAGAAAGCGUAAUAGCUCACCGGUCGAGUGACUCGGUGCCGAAAAUGUACCGGGGCUAAGCCUGCCGCCGAAGCUGCGGAUUCAUAGGAACUCCGGUUCCUAUGAGUGGUAGGGGAGCGUUCUGUGUUGCUUGAAGUCAGACCGUAAGGACUGGUGGACGGCACAGAAGUGAGACUGCCAGCACGAGUAGCGAUAAAGAGGGUGAGAACCCCUCUCGCCGUAAGUCUAAGGUUUCCUGAGGAAGGUCAGUCCUCUCAGGGUUAGGCGGCCUCUUAGUCGAGGACGAAGGUCGUAGACGAAGGGAAGCAGGUCAACAUUCCUGCCCCGCCUGAAUAACGUUUGACCGAUGGGGUGACGCAGGAGGGUAGCUCAGCCUGCGAUUGGAAGUGCAGGUUGCAAGCAAGUAGCCGGGGGGACCAGGCAAAUCCGGGCCCCCAUUUCAAACGGUGAGAUGUGAUGCCGAGGUCUUCGGACCGCAAAGUGAGUGAUCCCACGCUGCCAAGAAAAACCUCGUAGGGAGUAAUUCAGGCGACCGUACCGCAAACCGACACAGGUAGACAGGGAGAGAAUCCCAAGGCGAACGAGUUAACACUGGUUAAGGAACUCGGCAAAUUGGCUCCGUAACUUCGGGAGAAGGAGCGCCCCGUUAGCGUGAAGGACCUUGCGUCCGGAGCGUGAGGGGGUCACAGAAACCAGGCCCAGGCGACUGUUUACUAAAAACACAGGUCUCUGCAAAGUCGAAGUCGACGUAUAGGGACUGACGCCUGCCCGGUGCCGGAAGGUUAAGAGGACGGGUUAGCCCUCGGGCGAAGCUCAGAAUUGAAGCCCCGGUAAACGGCGGCCGUAACUAUAACGGUCCUAAGGUAGCGAAAUUCCUUGUCGGGUAAGUUCCGACCCGCACGAAUGGCGUAACGAUCUGGGCGCUGUCUCGACCAGUGGCUCGGCGAAACUGAAGUGCCGGUGAAGAUGCCGGCUACCCGCAGCUGGACAGAAAGACCCCGGCACCUUUACUACAACUUAGUACUGGGUUUUGGUAUGUCGUGUGCAGAAUAGGUGGGAGGCUUCGAAACCAGGCCGCUAGGUUUGGUGGAGCCAACCGUGAGAUACCACCCUCGUUAUGCUGGAACUCUAACCCAGGUCCGUUAUCCGGAUCGGGGACAGUGCUUGGUGGGUAGUUUAACUGGGGCGGUUGCCUCCCAAAGGGUAACGGAGGCGCCCAAAGGUUCCCUCAGGCUGUUUGGAAAUCAGCCGCAGAGUGUAAAGGCAUAAGGGAGCUUGACUGCGAGACUGACAAGUCGAGCAGGUGGGAAACCAGGGCUUAGUGAUCCGGCGGUUCCGUAUGGAAGGGCCGUCGCUCAUCGAAUAAAAGGUACGCCGGGGAUAA